GAAAUGCGAUAAGCAAUGUGAAUUGCAGAAUUCCGUGAAUCAUCGAAUCUUUGAACGCACAUUGCGCCCUCUGGCAUUCCGGGGGGCAUGCCUGUCCGAGCGUCAUUACGCACCCUCAAGCCCGGCUUGUGUGAUGGGCCCCGGCGUCUCGUUCGCGAGACGGGCCCGAAAGGCAGCGGCGGCGUCGACCCGAUGAGCCCGAGCGUAUGGGGACUUCUGUCACACGUUCGCGGUGCGGACCGGCGCCUGCUUGACCUUUCUGAUUAUCCAGGUUGACCUCGGAUCAGGUAGGGAUACCCGCUGAACUUAAGC
Molecule: unclassified non-coding RNA, 312 nt
Filed under: plant metagenome
Description: partial contains 5.8S ribosomal RNA, internal transcribed spacer 2, and large subunit ribosomal RNA
Rfam family: 5.8S ribosomal RNA (bases 1-105)
Source: RNAcentral